GACGAACGCUGGCGGCGUGCUUAACACAUGCAAGUCGAACGCUGAAGCCUGGUGCUUGCACUGUGCGGAUGAGUGGCGAACGGGUGAGUAAUACGUGAGUAACCUGCUCUUGACUCUGGUAUAAGCCUGGGAAAGUGGGUCUAAUACUGGAUACGACAUGUCACCGCAUGGUGGUGUGUGGAAAGGGUUUUAGUGGUUUUGGAUGGGCUCACGGCCUAUCAGCUUGUUGGUGGGGUAAUGGCUCACCAAGGCGACGACGGGUAGCCGGCCUGAGAGGGCGACCGGCCACACUGGGACUGAGACACGGCCCAGACUCCUACGGGAGGCAGCAGUGGGGAAUAUUGCACAAUGGGCGGAAGCCUGAUGCAGCGACGCCGCGUGAGGGAUGACGGCCUUCGGGUUGUAAACCUCUUUCAGCAGGGAAGAAGCGAAAGUGACGGUACGUGCAGAAGAAGCGCCGGCUAACUACGUG
Molecule: ribosomal RNA, 472 nt
Filed under: uncultured bacterium
Lineage: Bacteria
Description: partial 16S ribosomal RNA
Rfam family: Bacterial small subunit ribosomal RNA
Source: RNAcentral